GUGUGUGUACAGAGAGUUAGAGGCAGCCGCAAAUGUGUAUAUAUAAGCGUUAGUUGUAUGUGGCUGGAUUGAAGCUCCAUGAAAUUAAAUAGUAAGUCCCCUCCUCUCCCGACCCCCUCUUUCUAAACCCACUCGAUCUUCUCUCUGUCUAUUCAAUUCUGAUCUGCGCCUCACAAACAUAACAAUUCAUAAAAGAAUGUCAUCAUCAGAAACACCACUACGGUGGACUCAGCAACAACAAGAAGAAGCAGAAGAUAAUAUCACUGAAGAUGAAAUGAAUAAUAAUAAGGAGUUGAUGUUCGAGAAGGUUCUUACUCCAAGCGACGUUGGGAAGCUCAACCGCAUCGUCAUCCCAAAGCCCCACGCGGAGGCUCAUUUCCCGACCGGCGCUGACGGAUACUCGACCGAAGGGAAGGGCCUGCUUCUGAAUUUCGAGGACCAAUCGGGAAAACAAUGGAGGUUCCGUUACUCCUAUUGGAGCAGCAGCCAAAGCUAUGUUCUCACCAAAGGAUGGGGCCGCUACGUUAGGGAAAACCACCUUUCUGCCGGCGACGUCGUUUUGUUCAAGAGGCACCGCCUCCAUCCCAAUAAUUUCUUUGUUAGUUGGAGGCGCCGUGAUCCCGGGACCAUGCCCCUGGCGGCUAGAGGGAGGAGGAGGAGGAGGAGAAGGGAUGAGGGUACCAGUGGUGGUGAUGGCAACAGUGAGAGUGUGGUGGUGGGUGAUGCUGCUGUUUCUGUUUCUGUGGGGUAUCCUACGCACCACCAGCAACAUCCCUUCUCAUCCUAUCAUUCCAAUGAAUAUUUUCUUCAUGCAGGUCUCGUGCGCUAGCUGCGUGAGCCAUGUGACCGAAAUUUAACGAAGUAACAAAAAACAGAUAAAGACAAAUUAAAGGUGGAGAGUGCCAAGGUGCGAACGAAACGACAAUGGUGGAAAACCCUUUGAGUUCAGGUUCGAGGACGCUGAGGCUGUUCGGGGUGAACAUGGAAUGCCAAGAACAACGAGAGACACGUAAUAAUAACAAUAAUAAUAAUAAUUCUGAAACCUUCGCACCCUAAAAAAUCUCAUCGACAAGGACCCACCUCCCCAAUUAAUUAAUAUUAGUGAUAUAAUAAAUAAAUAUAAUCCCUCCUAAUUAAUUAAUUCGAAUCGUCGUUCACCAUCGUCACAUGCUAAACAUGCAAGUGGUGGCUUCUUGCUAUAUAUAUAUGUCACUGUCUUGUUUAGAUUCUCUUCUCUUCUUUUCUUUUUGUUUUCCCCCGGUUGGGGGUAAGCUAUGGUAUUCCUUCGGUCAAUUAUAUUACAAUAUAAUAUAAAUAGUAUGAGUAUGGUGAUGUCAUUAACAUCAAGAGUACCGAUGAAAGGAAUUGUUAAUUAUUUUAUAAGCGUAUCUAGUUUGGAGGUUAGCUAGACCAAGUUGAAGAUUAUAAAGGAUCCUUCUUGUGUUAAAUUUGGAAUAUGAAUGCAAAUGGAAAUGCUUAAUUAUCCUUUU
Non-coding RNA from Arachis ipaensis, 1490 nucleotides. Lineage: Eukaryota; Viridiplantae; Streptophyta; Magnoliopsida; Fabales; Fabaceae. The record is from RefSeq and is a predicted model, not a curated record.